Molecule: small nuclear RNA, 98 nt
Filed under: Zalophus californianus (California sea lion)
Lineage: Eukaryota; Metazoa; Chordata; Mammalia; Carnivora; Otariidae
Source: RNAcentral
UUGCUUCAGCAGCACAUAUACUAAUUUUGGAAUGAUACGGAGAUUAGCAUGCCCCUGCACAGGAUGACACACAAAUUCAUGAAGUUUUCCAUAAAAAG